AUAUAUGGGCUAUAAUGUAGAUACCACUUGGGAUGGGUUUAUCGUUACCUAUUGUUUCUGAUGGGGCGUUAAUUGGUGUGGCACCCGGAACUCUUCCUCACUUCGGGAAGAUUGGCAAGGGAUAUAAGAAGUUGGGGUUGGGGUUGAUGAUCCACAUGAUGGUGAUGGACCAGGACAGCUCUGGACCUCCUGACUGGCAGCUCCAUCCUCAACCUCCCUUCCUGUCCUUCACACAUGUGCAGGCAGAGGCAGUUUUCUGAAGGAUGGUUAAUGUCAGUACCAACAUGUUGUGAUGGAGGCUUCCACCUGAGCUGAACACAGAAACUUGCACACAGUGAUGGAAGCAGUCGUUCCUGUUCAGCAUUGAUAUGCCGGUAAUGGGUUUGAUGAGCCACAGCAUGGUGAUGGGCAAUCAGCAUCAGGACCAGGGCCGCUCACAAGGAGAACCUCCUGCCCUGCCUCUUCAUCCUCAACCUCCAAUCUUCCUGCUCUUCACACAUGUGCAGGCACAGAGCCAGUUUUCAGAGGGAGGGCUGAUGACACCAGCAACUUCGGAUCUGAACCUGAUCAACCCAGCACCAACCACUGUGCCGCUCCUCCUCUGCCAACUGCACCACAUGGCUCCACCAUCUCAAAAAGGCACAGACACUACUCCACUUCCUGCGAAGGAUGAGAGAAGAGCCGACCUCCCCACAACGGCACUCCCCACCUUCUACAGGGGUGUCAUUGAGAGCAUCCUGACCAGCAGCCUCUCUGUCUGGCAUGGCAGCCGUCAAGCUGAAGACUAGAAGGCAGUACAGAGAGUGGUGAGGACAGCAGAAAAGCUCAUAAGAUCACCCCUACCUGUUCUCCCUACUACCAUCAGGGAAGCGCUAGCCCAGCAUGCGGUGCUGCAAAAGCACACUGGGAAACGACUUCUUUCCACAAGCCAUCAGACUCCUCAACGCACUGAAGAAAACCACAUGAAUAACCAAGGACACGGGAGAAUAUUCCAUGAACACUUCUUUCACCAUGCCACUUACACUUUACUCAUUGCACCUUGUAUACAGCAUCUUCACACCACCUGUAUGAACUCCUCCUGCCGUGUGUGUGUGUCCACUGUGUUUGUGUAUUUAUUGUCCAUCAGUAUGUUAAUCUUAUUAUUGCACACUGUUUGGGUGUCUGUAUUUAUAGUAUGUAUCAGUCUGUAUUUAAUGCCAAUGCCUUAUUUUUAGUUAUUAGUUAAAUGCACAUUGGAGACUGGUCAAACACAAUUUCAAACUUUGUGUUAACCCUCUUGUUGACCGUUCACACUUCAUAGUGUAAAAGUAAACAGAAAUAAAUUCACAUUUCA
This is a long non-coding RNA of Engraulis encrasicolus (European anchovy), 1333 nucleotides long. RefSeq lists it as uncharacterized. The record is from RefSeq and is a predicted model, not a curated record. The transcript has 5 exons. NCBI's taxonomy places the organism in Eukaryota, Metazoa, Chordata, Actinopteri, Clupeiformes, Engraulidae.